GUACACAAAAAUGCACAUACUGUGAGCUCGAUGAGUAGGGCGGGACACGUGGUAUCCUGUCUGAAUAUGGGGGGACCAUCCUCCAAGGCUAAAUACUCCUGACUGACCGAUAGUGAACCAGUACCGUGAGGGAAAGGCGAAAAGAACCCCGGCGAGGGGAGUGAAAAAGAACCUGAAACCGUGUACGUACAAGCAGUGGGAGCCUCUUAAUGGGGUGACUGCGUACCUUUUGUAUAAUGGGUCAGCGACUUAUAUUCUGUAGCAAGGUUAACCGAAUAGGGGAGCCGAAGGGAAACCGAGUCUUAACUGGGCGUUAAGUUGCAGGGUAUAGACCCGAAACCCGGUGAUCUAGCCAUGGGCAGGUUGA
RNAcentral lists this ribosomal RNA (367 nucleotides) under Escherichia coli. RNAcentral describes it as "partial 23S ribosomal RNA". It matches the Rfam family "Bacterial large subunit ribosomal RNA", at positions 375 to 748 of the family's 2925-position model. Lineage: Bacteria; Pseudomonadati; Pseudomonadota; Gammaproteobacteria; Enterobacterales; Enterobacteriaceae. The record is from RNAcentral.